RNAcentral lists this ribosomal RNA (468 nucleotides) under uncultured bacterium. RNAcentral's name for it is "partial 16S ribosomal RNA". It matches the Rfam family "Bacterial small subunit ribosomal RNA", at positions 28 to 507 of the family's 1533-position model. The record is from RNAcentral.
GAUGAACGCUGGCGGCGUGCUUAACACAUGCAAGUCGAACGGAAAGGCCCAAGCUUGCUUGGGUACUCGAGUGGCGAACGGGUGAGUAACACGUGGGUGAUCUGCCCUGCACUUCGGGAUAAGCCUGGGAAACUGGGUCUAAUACCGGAUAGGACGAUGGUUUGGAUGCCAUUGUGGAAAGUUUUUUCGGUGUGGGAUGAGCUCGCGGCCUAUCAGCUUGUUGGUGGGGUAAUGGCCUACCAAGGCGUCGACGGGUAGCCGGCCUGAGAGGGUGUACGGCCACAUUGGGACUGAGGUACGGCCCAGGCUCCUACGGGAGGCAGCAGUGGGGAAUAUUGCACAAUGGGCGCAAGCCUGAUGCAGCGACGCCGCGUGGGGGAUGACGGCCUUCGGGUUGUAAACUCCUUUCGCUAGGGACGAAGCGUUUUUGUGACGGUACCUGGAGAAGAAGCACCGGCUAACUACGUG